This 3100-nucleotide unclassified non-coding RNA is filed under the name Drosophila mojavensis. Its description in RNAcentral is "GI23286". Lineage: Eukaryota; Metazoa; Arthropoda; Insecta; Diptera; Drosophilidae. The record is from RNAcentral.
UAUAAAUAUAACUGUUGGCCAUAAUUCCUUAAAAGUCGUCUACUACUAUCCCAAUAAGAUGAAGUUUAUUUGGCUCUUAGCAUUAUGUGCUGCAAUAGGCAAAUCUAGUACAAACGCGGAGAAUUUGUCCGAGAAUGUCAAUGGGGAGAACGGCUGGUAUAUGCCUAACGAAGAUGGCACCCUUCAGUGGAUAGACGAGAAAAAAGCGGAGGCAAUGCUUCAACCCCUUACGGAACAGAAAAACCUAGCGGCAAUUGCAAAGCUCGUGAAAUACUAUUUAUUAUCCAAGUACCAAAAAACCCGAAGAAACUCAGUCCAUAGAACCUAUUGAAAACUCCACGUGGGCAAUCAGCUGACAAAUAUAUACGCUUAUAUUUCAAGUUAGUUCUGGAUGAUAACAUUUAAGGGCGGUGUCAGCACUUGAGGAGGGUACUUACUGCAGGUUAACAGUAACGCCCAGACUGCAAAUACCAGACUGCAAGAAAGAGCUCCCGAGCCUAAUAGAUCUGUAUUCAUAGCUGAGACACACUUAAAUAUGAACAGAUUUCAUACAUUUAUGCUAAUCAUCAUAUAGUAUUGAGUGUGUUUACUUUAGGAUCCCAGUGUAUCCCAGCAGAGGCAGGUGGAAUUAUUUUCCGGUAGAAAAGUCAAUCGAAAGGUUGAAGACAUUAAGCAUUUUGGACAAUGCCUAUCAGGUCACCCUUUGUAUUGUGAUAACGUCUUCGGUUUGUACUAUAACAGACCAUUGCUUGCCGAAACUCCUUAUCAGUCGAAAAAGUGGAUUUUCGGAUAACUUUGAAUUUUACAUGUAAUUUCUUAAUCUUCUUCACAACUAAUUUUGAUUUCCACACAGCUGCGGUCUGCUUUGACUCUGAACGUAAGAAUGGAUAGAAUGGCUGGUACAUACCUAGACCCGAUGACAGCUUUUUUUAGUUGGAUAGAAUUAUUACAGAGCAUUUGCUUGAAAAUUUAGAAAAGUUAAAGAGCCUUACACUGCAAAAAGCUCCGGUCGACUUCUACCUGUUCACAAAGUUAAACCCCACCAAGGGCACCAAGAUCACAGCCACCAGCAAGUCUAUUAAAAAAUCCAAUUUCGAUACCUAAAACCCUACAAGAUUUAUUAUCCACUGCUGGCUCCAGAGCAGAUCAUCGGACAUGAACAAAAACAUUCGUGAUGCCUGGCUGAGCAAUUGUGACUACAACGUCAUCGUCGUAGACUGGGCUAGUGCACGAUCCCCGGUUAUGCUACCCCUGUUGUGGCUGUACAUAUCGUAGGCAAGAAGGCCAACAUGAUCAACUACAGCACCGUUCGCAUGAGCGCUGAUAGCAAUGCCGACAAGGUCGAGGGUGUCUUCUAUGUGCCGGUGAACAGCGAAUCUCCCCACGGCAAUGCCAACUAUGUAGUAAUGUGACGCAAUCAAUCAAAUAAUUAGACUAGGUAAUCUAGUUGGGUUUACGACGCUAAUCAUAUAACUGAACGAUACACCUUGAGGCUAUAAUCCAUACUAUAGUGUGGUAUAUACAUACAUAUAUACUUAUACGGUAACCGGUACUGCUAUCAACAUAGUAAUUCAAGCAAUUCCAUUAGAAGCAAACAAUAUAUGGACUUGUCGUUUCCCACGCAGUGCAUAAAUCAUACGACAUUGAUGUAGGCCUCCACCGAUAAAGAUUUAUGAUCAGUGAUAAUUAUUAAUUAUACUUGUGGUUCACUAAAUGACUUCUAAUUGUAUGCCCAUUGCUCCUCAUUUUUCGAGGUGACCAUAUGUGCCUCCUAAAAGUAUGCAACAUGUGUGUGUAUGUUAUUCUAAUAUUGGAUUUUGUGUACUAUUUUUGCAUGUCAUUUAAUUCAUCUACUCUGCCAAUUAGCACGAACAGGAUAAUCAGCCAUGGAAAAAUCAUUAGCAAUAAUACGAGUACAACUCAGAGAGGUAAACACAAAAAGUGAGCAGUAAAGAAGGGGGCAGUGGGUGGCUGGGGCGGAAGUCUCUAAACAAAUUGAGUCACAGUUAAUAGGCUUUUGUUGGGUCAACCGUUCAUUGUUUACAUUACUCGUUUACACUCAGCAAAUUUGCUUCAAGCCACAGACAUAGACCAUAGCUGGCCGAAACUUCUUAUCAGUCGAAAUACCUCACAAUAUAAAACCCUUUUAGCUCUUAGCUUUCUGUUCCACGUACAUGGAAUUCCGCCAACUCUUUAACAAAUGCUAUUAAUUCAUACACAGCUUCGGCUGGCAGCUUAUGUUGGAUAGAUAAACAUGCGGCAGAACGUUGGCUUCGACGAAUUGAAAACGUACUGUUCAAUGACCAAAGUUCCUAUCGAAUUCUACCUGUUCACCAAGUCCAACCCCACCAAGGGUACCAAGAUCACAGCUACGAGCAAUUCAAUCGCCUCAUCCAACUUCAGUGCCUAUGAUCCAACGAGGAUUUAUUAUUCACGGCUAGACCCAGAGUAGCUCAUCGGACUUGCAGAAGAACGAUCGGGACGCCUGGCUGAGCAAUGGUGACUACAACGGCAUCGUUGUGGACUGGGCUAAUGCAUGUUCCAUGGACUAUAUUUCCUCCGUUGUGGCUAUACCCGGCGUAAGCCAGAAGGUCGCCAACAUGGUCAACUACCUUGACUUCCAUCAUGACUUGAGUCUCGACUACCCCAAGAAAAACUUUGGAACCAUGAAGUGCGAUAGCUAUAUGGCAGCCGUCAAUAAGAAGUGUGGCAACACCUACAGCACUAUUCGAAUGGGUGAUGAAGGCAAUGCCGACAGGGUCAAGGGUGCCUUUUAUGUGCCGGUGAACAGCAAUGCUCCCCACGGCAAUAUCAACUAAAUAAGAAUAAUAAUGUGACGCAAUCAAAAAAGUUACCGAAAACAAUCGAAUUCCGCUUUGCUUAAGGAAGCAUUUUUUGUGUAAGUAACUAAUCUUUGGGUUCACGACGCUAAUCAUAUAACUCGAAAAUACACAUUGAGUUUCUAAUCCAUACUAAGCCGUACACUAUAUGGCAAGCGAUACGUCUAUCAAUUUAGUAAUUGCUCAUGGAUCUAGCACUUCCCUUGCAAAUUUAAUCGAGUUUCAAGUGCUUUUAAGCCAAUAUAGAAGGAUGGUGUAGU